RNAcentral lists this transfer RNA (63 nucleotides) under Platyplectrum melanopyga (Wokan cannibal frog). Its description in RNAcentral is "tRNA-Cys". Lineage: Eukaryota; Metazoa; Chordata; Amphibia; Anura; Limnodynastidae. The record is from RNAcentral.
GGUCUUGGGGUGUUACACGUGGGGUUGCAAACCCCAAGAUGCAGUUAGUUCCUGCCGAGGCUU